GACGAACGCUGGCGGCGUGCUUAACACAUGCAAGUCGAACGCGCCUGUCCUCUGGGUUUCUGGGGGGUGGGUGAGUGGCGAACGGGUGAGUAACACGUGAGUAACCUGCCCCCUUCUUCGGGAUAACGGUCUGAAAGGGCUGCUAAUACCGGGUAUUCACUGGUCUCCGCAUGGGGUCUGGUGGAAAGGUUUUUUUCUGGUGGGGGAUGGGCUCGCGGCCUAUCAGCUUGUUGGUGGGGUGAUGGCCCACCAAGGCUUUGACGGGUAGCCGGCCUGAGAGGGUGACCGGUCACAUUGGGACUGAGAUACGGCCCAGAAUACUACGGGAGGCAGCAGUGGGGAAUAUUGCACAAUGGGCGCAAGCCUGAUGCAGCGACGCCGCGUGAGGGAUGGAGGCCUUCGGGUUGUGAACCUCUUUCGCCCGUGGUCAAGCCGCGACGUGGGUCGUGGUGAGGGUAGUGGGUAAAGAAGCGCCGGCUAACUACGUG
This 488-nucleotide ribosomal RNA is filed under the name uncultured bacterium. Its description in RNAcentral is "partial 16S ribosomal RNA". It matches the Rfam family "Bacterial small subunit ribosomal RNA", at positions 28 to 507 of the family's 1533-position model. The record is from RNAcentral.